UAAGAGCAGCAAGCACUCUUAACCACUGAGCCAUCUCUCCAGUACUGCAAUUCUAUUCGAUAAGUGAUAAGAGGAACAUAAACACUACAAUAAUAAAACUGGCAUUAUAAUUUGCUUCUGUUCACUAUCUGGUUACUGAGUUAGAUAUAGCAUGCUUUCUAGCUCAUGUUAGGUCCUACAUCAUCUGAGCAAUAGGCAGUAAUACUGCCAGCAACCGCUGCUAUUUCUCUCCUUGUAUGCUGUGAACUUUUACCCAGAGCUGCUCCACUACCCACCUGCUCAACCCCAAUUUUAAGAACUUGAGACAUUUUGAAGUUUUCUAGCCAUGUUGCUUAUAAAUCUGCUGUACCUUUUUUUUCUUUUUUCUUUUUUUUUUUUAAUGGACGUUUAUGGUACAAUCUCAUUAUUAUAAUUUUCCUGUUUUGUCACAUGUGAUAACCAAUGUUAGAUUUUAAAAAUUUCCUAUCUGUGGAGUGAUUCCUCAAAUUUUAUGUAAAUGUGAAAUGAUGAAAAGUAAGUAGAUCAAUGAAUUCUCACUUUAUGUACUUUGAAAUUAUGUUAACUCCUUAAAUGGAAAUCAGUCUUAAAGGCGGAAGGGACAAAUGUAUUCGAAACUGUUCCUGCUACUGCCACAUGGUGGCGCCAUGUCAGCUGGUGAAUGUUAAACUUUGGCAAACUUUGGAUUAGUCUUCAGUUGAUUAAGAACUGUUUGAUCUGCGCAGGAAUGCACAGUUGUGCUCUGGCCUCCAUUUCACAGAAGAGAUAACCAGAGUCCAGACAAGAUGUGUCACUAAACAGAGUUUGCUGAUUCGUCUAGACUUCCUGGCUAGGGAUUCUCAGAGAUCCAUCGGAGAGGGGAUGGCAGUUUGUCCAUGGGUCACAUGAGAGCAAGCAUUCCUCCCCGAAACAUUUGGAUGUCCGUGAGACUAGGCCGUUUCCUGAUAAUAAAUACAUUUCUAACAGAUGGAAGUCUAUUCAACUCUUCAGGCUGGAGAUAUCUGACUCAUCUGACAGUGCAGUGGAGACUGUGAGACUCAGAGAUGAUGGAACUGGAACUGCACAGAGCCCAGACGAUUCAGAAACUAAAAGGAAAAUUCUGACUCUGUUCCAUCCCACCACACAGCCCACGUGCGACUCUGACAGGAAAGCGAACGAACCUUUAUAGUGUAUUAAGCUAUGAUACAAACGGGAACCGCAUCUUUAUUGUGUCUUAAACUGUGCUGUGAAGAGGGACUAAACCUUUAUUGUGUACUAAGCUGCGGAGUGAAUAGGAAAUAAACCUUUACUGCGUUAACGCCUGUGAGGUUUUUCAAGUUGUUUGUUUUGCAGCAGCUAACACAACUGGACUCCAGUGGGCUGAUGGGAACACAGCAACUAGCUCAUGGAAUGAUCAAGUCCUAGACCUGGAAAGAGUCCCUAAAAAAGGUGAGGAAAUGUAAGACGGAUUCUGAAUUAAUAAUCAGAAACACUUGUCUGUAGUUGGGCAGGAGAAGAUAGACCUGGAAGGAAGUCUAAUAAACAGGGCUCUGAAGGAGUGAGUAGAGACAGGUUUACAGAAGAACCUUAAAAUCAGAAGGGAGGUUUGUGUCUCUAGGAAGCAAGGAGAGCACAGUGUAGGCAGAAUCACUCGGCUGCAGUGGGCACUGGACUGUCAAGGACACUGCCUGAUCCUCCCCUCUCUUCCUUCUUGUGAGAAUGUGGGUGAAUAGAACCCCUUCCCUGGGAACUGGACUGGCUAGUUAGCAGCUUCCCUCUGGGGACAGUCCACUUUCUAUUUCUAUUGUUGGGAAGAACAGAUAUAUGCUUUUUAAUCUGCAUAGCGGAAUCUCUUGUCUUUUAACACUUUUUCAACAAAUUUUAAUGUGGUUUGUUUCUAUGGUUGUUAUGGGAACAUAUUAUGUUUGUGAGAAUAAGGGCUCUGACCAUCUCCCAUACCCCCUAACCCCAUCCCACACAUCACCUUCAGCUCCUUCUCCAGGACUCAAGGGAUUUCUUAACUCCAUUGUCCUUGUUAAAACCCAGCAUCAGAAAGAAAAAUCUGGAAUUCAUUUAUCUGAAGAUAUAAAUGAUUAUAGGUGACUCUUACAUGUGUCUAAAGGUGACUUUUUGUUGAGAAAAUUGUCAAAUUAGUAAGAAUUAUAGUUAUCUGAUUCAAAGGAUAAAGAUUCUAAGUGCACCAGGAUAUAGAACAGGCAAUAGGAAAGCCAAAUAAAGAUCUGAGAGCGACCAGAUCUUGGGGUCCAGAAUUUAGCACUUGAAUGCAUAGCAGCACCAGACCAAUUCCCAAUAGAAGAGCAUUGUGGUACAUGCAGGAUUUUACAGGAAACUGUAACUACCAAACUAUCUCAGAAGUAGAAAAUGUAAAUAAAAAUAGUACAAAUCCCACGGGCAUGGUGGCCCUUACAUAUAGUCUUACUGUUUGGUAACAUACAGAAAGAUUCUAGGGUUGAUGUUGGCCUGACUUACAUAGUAAGUUCUUGUGUAGCCAGGACCACAGAUUAAGACACUAUCUCAAACAAAAACACAGCAGCAGCAAAUAGAGAAAUUUCACAAAAAGCUGUUUUAUU
This is a long non-coding RNA of Mus musculus (house mouse), 2567 nucleotides long. RefSeq annotates it as predicted gene, 30034. The record is from RefSeq and is a predicted model, not a curated record. The transcript is spliced from 4 exons. NCBI's taxonomy places the organism in Eukaryota, Metazoa, Chordata, Mammalia, Rodentia, Muridae.